Molecule: non-coding RNA, 239 nt
Filed under: Blautia sp.
Lineage: Bacteria; Bacillati; Bacillota; Clostridia; Lachnospirales; Lachnospiraceae
Description: T-box sequence
Rfam family: T-box leader
About the family: Uncharged tRNA acts as the effector for transcription antitermination of genes in the T-box leader family. T-boxes are found upstream of many aminoacyl-tRNA synthetase genes and some amino acid biosynthetic genes usually in Gram-positive bacteria. The anticodon of a specific tRNA base pairs to a specifier sequence within the T-box motif, and the NCCA acceptor tail of the tRNA base pairs to a conserved bulge in the T-box antiterminator hairpin.
Source: RNAcentral
AAAAACACCGUGACGAAGAGAGUACAUGCACGACUGUCAUUACAGAGAAUUCCCGGAGGCUGAGAGGGAAGUGACAAGGUGAAUGGAAGAUGGCUUCUGAGAGGCGCACCGAGCCGGAAGGUUAGGCUGCGACAGGAUCCGCCUGUUAUAGCGGCAGAGUAUAGCAGUACUUGGCGAGGUUUCUUUCGUGAGAAAGAGACGAAGAGAAGUGGUAACACGGUAUCAUAUCCGUCUUCUUA